Molecule: ribosomal RNA, 732 nt
Filed under: uncultured eukaryote
Lineage: Eukaryota
Description: SSU rRNA
Rfam family: Eukaryotic small subunit ribosomal RNA
Source: RNAcentral
CGCGUGCACUGGUUCGGCCGGGCCUUUCCCUCUGGGGAGCCGCAUGCCCUUCACUGGGUGUGUCGGGGAACCAGGACUUUUACUUUGAACAAAUUAGAUCGCUUAAAGAAGGCCUAUGCUCGAAUACAUUAGCAUGGAAUAAUAGAAUAGGACGCGUGGUUCUAUUUUUGUUGGUUUCUAGGGACCGCCGUAAUGAUUAAUAGGGACAGUCGGGGGGCAUCAGUAUUCAAUUGUCAGAGGUGAAAUUCUUGGAUUUAUUGAAGACUAACUACUGCGAAAGCAUUUGCCAAGGAUGUUUUCAUUAAUCAGGAACGAAAGUUAGGGGAUCGAAGACGAUCAGAUACCGUCGUAGUCUUAACCAUAAACUAUGCCGACUAGGGAUCGGACGAUGUUAUAUUUUGACUCGUUCGGCACCUUACACGAAAGUAAAGUUUCUGGGUUCUGGGGGGAGUAUGGUCGCAAGGCUGAAACUUAAAGAAAUUGACGGAAGGGCACCACCAGGGGUGGAGCCUGCGGCUUAAUUUGACUCAACACGGGGAAACUCACCAGGUCCAGACACAAGUAGGAUUGACAGAUUGAGAGCUCUUUCUUGAUUUUGUGGGUGGUGGUGCAUGGCCGUUCUUAGUUGGUGGAGUGAUUUGUCUGCUUAAUUGCGAUAACGAACGAGACCUUAACCUGCUAAAUAGCCCGCAUUGCUUUGGCAGUGCGCCGGCUUCUUAGAGGGACUAUCGG